This 217-nucleotide non-coding RNA is filed under the name Alkalithermobacter thermoalcaliphilus. Its description in RNAcentral is "Clostridium paradoxum T-box sequence". It matches the Rfam family "T-box leader". Rfam says of the family: Uncharged tRNA acts as the effector for transcription antitermination of genes in the T-box leader family. The record is from RNAcentral. Lineage: Bacteria; Bacillati; Bacillota; Clostridia; Peptostreptococcales; Tepidibacteraceae.
AAAAAGACUAUGAAGAAGAGGAGUACAUGGUAUUCGCCAAAAAGAGAGGAAAGUCCGCGGCUGAAAGGCUUUCUUGGAAAGAAAUCAUGGAAGGUAGCUUCUGAGUUUCUAAGUUGAAAUAUCAGUAGACUUAGACGGAUAUUCCGUUAAAAUAAAUGAGUGCCAGAAAUUUCUGGAAAUAAGGUGGUACCGCGAAACAAAGCCCUUCGUCCUUAAC